RNAcentral lists this ribosomal RNA (468 nucleotides) under uncultured bacterium. RNAcentral describes it as "partial 16S ribosomal RNA". It matches the Rfam family "Bacterial small subunit ribosomal RNA", at positions 28 to 507 of the family's 1533-position model. The record is from RNAcentral.
GACGAACGCUGGCGGCGUGCUUAACACAUGCAAGUCGAACGGAAAGGCCCUGCUUUUGUGGGGUGCUCGAGUGGCGAACGGGUGAGUAACACGUGAGUAACCUGCCCUUGACUUUGGGAUAACUUCAGGAAACUGGGGCUAAUACCGGAUAGGAGCUCCUGCUGCAUGGUGGGGGUUGGAAAGUUUCGGCGGUUGGGGAUGGACUCGCGGCUUAUCAGCUUAUUGGUGGGGUAGUGGCUUACCAAGGCUUUGACGGGUAGCCGGCCUGAGAGGGUGACCGGCCACAUUGGGACUGAGAUACGGCCUAGACUCCUACGGGAGGCAGCAGUGGGGAAUAUUGCACAAUGGGCGGAAGCCUGAUGCAGCAACGCCGCGUGCGGGAUGACGGCCUUCGGGUUGUAAACCGCUUUCGCCUGUGACGAAGCGUGAGUGACGGUAAUGGGUAAAGAAGCACCGGCUAACUACGUG